CCCUCCCUGUCUCCGGCCUCUUCUCCAACCCCCUUCCAGCAGCAGUACGGAAGCUAUGGGUACCAGAACCCCUGGAACUACAGCCAGUACUACCCCCCCAGCUAGGGGGCGCCAGAGAGGGACGGGACGGGACGGGGUGGGGGGGCAGGAAUGUAAAUAAAGCACAGAAGAAGGCACCUUUGCAGCUGCCUCCAGAGAGAGUUUUGUACUGGCAGGCUGGUGCUCCCUCUGUCGAACCCGACUCGUGUCUCGCAUGCAAGCACUGCCUGUCUGCUUCCGUUUCUGCGCUGGGAGAUGAACCAUCACCGGCGUCCUAUGUACAUAAUCGACAUACCAUUCCCAGACCUCCCCGUGUGUGUGUGUUUUUUACUGUAUAUAAACAGACAUAAUAAAGGGCUUUUGUGUGUAACUCGACAGUGUUGGGUUUGGUUUUUUGAGAGAGCGCCCCCUGCAGUCUGGAGAAUUGUCUUGGCUUUCUAGUUGCCUCAUCCAAUCCAGGGUCUCGGC
This 507-nucleotide long non-coding RNA is filed under the name Lepisosteus oculatus (spotted gar). RNAcentral describes it as "lncRNA (ENSLOCG00000021842.1)". Lineage: Eukaryota; Metazoa; Chordata; Actinopteri; Semionotiformes; Lepisosteidae. The record is from RNAcentral.